UGAGCAAUCUGCCCUUCUCAUCGGAAUAAGCGUUGGAAACGACGUCUAAUGCCGAAUACGACCUCCUUUCGCAUGAUCGGAGGUGGAAAGCUCCGGCGGAGAAGAAUGAGCUCGCGGCCUAUCAGCUAGUUGGUGGGUAAUGGCUCACCAAGGCGACGACGGGUAGCUGGUCUGAGAGGAUGGCCAGCCACAUUAGGACUGAGACACGGCCCAGAUCCGUACGGG
RNAcentral lists this ribosomal RNA (225 nucleotides) under uncultured bacterium. Its description in RNAcentral is "partial 16S ribosomal RNA". It matches the Rfam family "Bacterial small subunit ribosomal RNA", at positions 118 to 345 of the family's 1533-position model. The record is from RNAcentral.